GAUGAAGAACGUAGUGAAAUGCGAUAAGUAAUGUGAAUUGCAGAAUUCAGUGAAUCAUCGAAUCUUUGAACGCACCUUGCGCUCCUUGGUAUUCCGAGGAGCAUGCCUGUUUGAGUGUCAUUAAAUUCUCAACUACACUGACUUAGAAUUGGUGUGGCUUGGAUUUGGGGGGAAAAUUGUUGUGGGCUUUUUGUAUAGUCUGCUCCCCUGAAAUUGAUUAGCGGUACCUUUGUGGAACUGUCUACAGGUGUGAUAAUUAUCUACAUCUUAGACAUCUGCUGGAAUGCUGCUUUCUAAACCUUACUUGUAUUGACAAUCUUGACCUCAAAUCAGGUAGGACUACCCGCUGAACUUAAGCAUAUCAAUAAGCGGAGGA
This 376-nucleotide unclassified non-coding RNA is filed under the name soil metagenome. RNAcentral's name for it is "partial contains 5.8S ribosomal RNA, internal transcribed spacer 2, and large subunit ribosomal RNA". The stretch from base 1 to 120 matches the Rfam family "5.8S ribosomal RNA", at positions 35 to 154 of the family's 154-position model. The record is from RNAcentral.